RNAcentral lists this ribosomal RNA (446 nucleotides) under uncultured organism. RNAcentral's name for it is "partial 16S ribosomal RNA". It matches the Rfam family "Bacterial small subunit ribosomal RNA", at positions 334 to 797 of the family's 1533-position model. The record is from RNAcentral.
CACUCCUGCGGGAGGCAGCAGUGGGGAAUAUUGGACAAUGGGCGCAAGCCUGAUCCAGCCAUGCCGCGUGAGUGAUGAAGGCCCUAGGGUUGUAAAGCUCUUUCACCGGUGAAGAUAAUGACGGUAACCGGAGAAGAAGCCCCGGCUAACUUCGUGCCAGCAGCCGCGGUAAUACAAAGGGGGCUAGCGUUGUUCGGAUUUACUGGGCGUAAAGCGCACGUAGGCGGACUAUUAAGUCAGGGGUGAAAUCCCGGGGCUCAACCCCGGAACUGCCUUUGAUACUGGUAGUCUUGAGUUCGAGAGAGGUGAGUGGAAUUCCGAGUGUAGAGGUGAAAUUCGUAGAUAUUCGGAGGAACACCAGUGGCGAAGGCGGCUCACUGGCUCGAUACUGACGCUGAGGUGCGAAAGCGUGGGGAGCAAACAGGAUUAGAUACCCCGGUAGUCCC